GUUUUGAUCCUGGCUUAGGACGAACGCUGGCGGCGUGCUUAACACAUGCAAGUCGAACGGAGAUUAGAAGGAAGCUUGCGAAUUCUAAACUUAGUGGCGCACGGGUGAGUAACGCGUGGAUAACCUGCCUGGUAGACCGGGAUAACAGCUGGAAACGGCUGCUAAUACCGGAUACGCUUAAGGGAACGCAUGUUCUUUUAAGGAAAGCAAUCGUGCUAUCAGAUGGAUCCGCGUCCCAUUAGCUAGUUGGUGGUGUAAGGGACCACCAAGGCGACGAUGGGUAGCCGGCCUGAGAGGGCGACCGGCCACACUGGGACUGAGACACGGCCCAGACUCCUACGGGAGGCAGCAGUGGGGAAUCUUCCGCAAUGGGCGAAAGCCUGACGGAGCAACGCCGCGUGAGGGAAGAAGGCCUUCGGGUUGUAAACCUCUGUCAUCAAGGAAGAACAGAUGACGGUACUUGGAGAGGAAGCCCCGGCUAACUACGUGCCAGCAGCCGCGGUAAAACGUAGGGGGCGAGCGUUGUCCGGAAUUACUGGGCGUAAAGGGCGCGUAGGUGGUCCAUUAAGUUAGAGGUGAAAGAUCGGGGCUCAACCCCGAGAUUGCCUCUGAUACUGGUGGACUUGAGUGCAGGAGAGGGGAGCGGAAUUCCCAGUGUAGCGGUGA
RNAcentral lists this ribosomal RNA (666 nucleotides) under uncultured bacterium. RNAcentral's name for it is "bacterial SSU rRNA". It matches the Rfam family "Bacterial small subunit ribosomal RNA", at positions 11 to 684 of the family's 1533-position model. The record is from RNAcentral.